This 500-nucleotide ribosomal RNA is filed under the name uncultured bacterium. Its description in RNAcentral is "bacterial SSU rRNA". It matches the Rfam family "Bacterial small subunit ribosomal RNA", at positions 29 to 520 of the family's 1533-position model. The record is from RNAcentral.
AUUGAACGCUGGCGGAAUGCUUUACACAUGCAAGUCGAGCGGCAGCGCGGGGCAACCUGGCGGCGAGCGGCGAACGGGUGAGUAACACAUCGGAACGUGCCCAGACGUGGGGGAUAGCCGGCGAAAGCCGGAUUAAUACCGCAUACGAUCUAAGGAUGAAAGCGGGGGAGUCGCAAGACCUCGCGCGUUUGGAGCGGCCGAUGGCAGAUUAGGUAGUUGGUGGGGUAAAGGCUUACCAAGCCUGCGAUCUGUAGCUGGUCUGAGAGGAUGAUCAGCCACACUGGGACUGAGACACGGCCCAGACUCCUACGGGAGGCAGCAGUGGGGAAUUUUGGACAAUGGGCGAAAGCCUGAUCCAGCCAUUCCGCGUGCAGGACGAAGGCCUUCGGUUGUAAACGUAGCUUUGUUACGGAACGAAAAGGUACUUCUCUAAUACAGAGGGCCCGAUGACGGUACCGUAACGAAUAAGACACCGGCUAACUACGUGCCAGCAGCCGCGG